Molecule: small RNA, 156 nt
Filed under: Listeria floridensis
Lineage: Bacteria; Bacillati; Bacillota; Bacilli; Caryophanales; Listeriaceae
Description: Manganese sequence
Rfam family: Manganese Mn2+ riboswitch aptamer (yybP-ykoY)
About the family: This RNA was originally discovered in E. coli during a large scale screen and was named SraF.
Source: RNAcentral
ACAGAUGUCAAAGGGGAGUAGCACUGGCUUAAUUGCCGGGAUAAAAUCGUCAUUACAUGGAGCUUUGAAUCCAUCGGUUUUAUUAACAUGUCACAAUGUCAGCGAGACCUUUGCCCGAUACCGGGUAAGGUCUCGCUUUUUUUAUUCUUACUCGCA